Molecule: non-coding RNA, 525 nt
Organism: Pelobates cultripes (western spadefoot toad)
Lineage: Eukaryota; Metazoa; Chordata; Amphibia; Anura; Pelobatidae
Source: the annotation of a GenBank genome assembly
ACACAGACAUACAUGAACGGACAGACAUGCACUCAUAUACACAGGCACACAGAGACAGACAAACACACUUACUAUAAAAAAGAUACAGCUCAGCUACUGAAACCAGUUGGGAGGGAAAAGGAAGCGACAACUGCUUGGGAAUGCAGUGCCUCCCUGUUCUUUCUGCUCCAUGAGUCUUGGUAACUCACAGAGCAGACUAGGCAGGGAGAGCAAUACAAAACUAGAGAUUAUGGGCUUCAGGCUACUGGUGGGGGAGAGAUUUGGGGUUUAGGAGCCCCACAUCCUCUGCUUGCGAUGCAUGGAAGGACAUACCUUCUGAUGGUAUCACCUGGUGCAGUCCAGACCUUCCUAAAAAACUCUGCCUUGACCCCUUAAAGCUAAAGUCAAACCUCCUACAAAGCUCACUUCUGAGUUCACCAUCUUCAGAUAAAACCAUGGCAAUGAUCAGCAAAGGUAUUUAGAAAGGUGACCAAUUAAGCAAAGCCGACACAAACAAUACAAUGAUUCUACAUUUGACCAUUUUUG